AGUUUGUGAGGAUUGAAAGCCAAUUUUUAAUGCUAUCAAAGAGUAGAGAUUCUAGUUAAAUAUUUAUACUUGAUUUUAAAUUUAUUUAAAAUUUUUUAAAGUAAAUAUGCUCUAACUAUUUUCUCGAAUCCCUACACUCCUCGGACAGGAAAAUGAGAACCUCUUCAUGAAUUAGGAUUUCUAUCAGGUCUACAGUCCCAUCGAUUGACAUGCUACCUUACCUGGC
RNAcentral lists this long non-coding RNA (226 nucleotides) under Elaeis guineensis (African oil palm). Its description in RNAcentral is "long non-coding RNA (EGUI_LNC011979)". The record is from RNAcentral. Lineage: Eukaryota; Viridiplantae; Streptophyta; Magnoliopsida; Arecales; Arecaceae.